Molecule: non-coding RNA, 156 nt
Organism: Cajanus cajan (pigeon pea)
Lineage: Eukaryota; Viridiplantae; Streptophyta; Magnoliopsida; Fabales; Fabaceae
Source: Rfam
GACUCUCAGAAGCAAAUACCUCGGCUCUUGCAUUGAUGAAGAAUGUAGCGAAAUGCGAUACAUGGUGUGAAUUGCAGAAUCCCAUGAACCAUCAAGUUUUUGAACGCAAGUUGCGCCUAAAUCCAUUAGGCUGAGGACACACCUGCCUGGGUGUCA